Long non-coding RNA from Mytilus californianus (California mussel), 1812 nucleotides. RefSeq lists it as uncharacterized. The transcript has 4 exons. NCBI's taxonomy places the organism in Eukaryota, Metazoa, Mollusca, Bivalvia, Mytilida, Mytilidae. The record is from RefSeq and is a predicted model, not a curated record.
UUUUAUACAACCGCAAAAAAAUUUUGUGGUCGUAUAUUGGUAUGACGUUGGCGUCGUCGUCGUCGUCGUCCGGCGUCGUCGUCAUCCGAAGACACAUUGAUUUUCGCACUCUAACUUUAGUUUAAGUGAAUGGAUCUCUAUGAAAUUUUACCAUAAGGUUCAAUAGCACAAAAGGAAGGUGGGGAUUGAUUUUGGGGGUUAUGGUACCAACAGUUGAGGAAUUAGGGGCCAAAAAUAAGCAUUUUUGUAACUUCCAGACAUAACUUGUGUGUAAGUGUAUGGAUCUCUCUGACAUUGUAUCACAAGGUUCCAUAUCACAAAGGGAAUGCUGGGAUUGAUUUUGGGGGUAAUUGCCUCCAAAUUUUAGGAAUUAGGGGCAAAAAACAAGCAUUUUUCUAGUUUCAUGACAAUAACUUGUGUGUAAGUGUAUGGAUCUUUAUGAAAUUGUACUACAAGGUUCCAUAUCAAAAAGGGAAUGCUGGGAUUGAUUUUGGGGGUAAUAGCCUCAAAAUUUAAGAAUUAGGGGCCAAAAAAGGGGCAAAAAACAAGCAUUUUUCUAGUUUCAUGACAAUAACUUGUGUUCAAAGUGUAUGGAUCUCUCUGAAAUUGUACUGUAAGGUACCAUACCACAACGGGAAGGCUGGGAUUGAUUUUGGGGGUAAUUGCCUCAAAAUUUUAGGAAUUAGGGGCCAAAAAGGGGCAAAAAUCAAGCAUUUUUCUUGUUUCAGGACAAUAACUUGUGUGUAAGUGUAUGGAUCUUUAUGAAAUUGUACUACAAGGUUCCAUAUCACAAAGGGAAUGCUGGGAUUGAUUUUGGGGGUAAUUGCCUUCAAAUUUUAGGAAUUUGGGGCCAAAAAACAAGCAUUUUUCUAGUUUCAUGACAAUAACUUGUUUGUAAGUGUAUGGAUCUCUCUGACAUUGUACCACAAGGUUCCAUAUCACAAAGGGAAGGCUGGGAUUGAUUUUGGGGGUAAUUGCCUCCAAAUUUUGGGAAUUAGGGGCCAAAAAAGGGGCAUAAAAACAAGCAUUUUUUCUAGUUUCAGGACAAUAACUUGUGUGUAAGUGUAUGGAUCUUUAUGAAAUUGUACUGCAAGGUUCCAUAUCACAAAGGGAAAGCUAGGUUUGAGUUUGGGGGUAAUUGCCCUAAACGUUUAGGAAUUUGGGGCCAAAAAGGGGCCAAAAAACAAGCAUUUUUCUAGUUUCCAGACAAUAACUUGUGUUCAUGUGUACGGAUCUCUCUGAAAUUGUACUGCAAGGUACCAUACCACAAAUGGAAGGCUGGGAUUGAGUUUCGGGGUAAUUCCCUCAAAAUUUUAGGAAUUAGGGGCCAUAAAGGAACAAAAAAACAAGCAUUUUUCUAGUUUCCAGACAAUAACUUGUGUUCAAGUGUACGGAUCUCUCUGAAAUUGUACUGCAAGGUACCAUACCACAAAGGGAAGGCUGGGAUUGAUUUUGGGGGUAAUUCCCUCAAAAUUUUAGGAAUUAGGGGCCAUAAAGGAACAAAAAAACAAGCAUUUUUCUAGUUUCAGGACAAUAACUUGUGUGUAAUCGAUGGAUCUUUAUGAAAUUGUACUGCAAGGUUCCAUAUCACAAAGGGAAAGCUAGGUUUGAGUUUGGGGGUAAUUGCCCUAAACGUUUAGGAAUUUGGAGCCAAAAAGGGGCCAAAAAACAAGCAUUUUUCUAGUUUCCAGACAAUAACUUGUGUUCAAGUGUAUGGAUCUCUCUGAAAUUGUACUGCAAGGUACCAUACCACAAAGGGAAGGCUAGGAUUGAGUUUGGGGUGAUGAAUCAUAAGGGGGUUCAACAAAUUUG